CCAGGAUCAACCUCCAGCAUCACAUCCGGUGGACUGGGAGAUGCUUGUCUCUUCUUGUCCUGAGGCUUCCGAAGACGCCUUCGGUGGUGAGCUGCUAAAUGUUUCCGGUGGCCGAGCCCCAACGUGAGCAGGUCCUGUGGGAAGAGAAAGGCUCGUGGAUCUUGGAAGACUGGAAGCAUGGUUUACAGAAGGGUCUGGAAGGAGACGAAAUUAUGCAGGUAUGAUGGUACAUACAGCAACGUCCAGCUCCCUAGGAGCACCCAGGGGAUGACUGAGGGGCUCUGAGGAGAGUCCAUGACCAAGAGUUGGGGACAGAGCCAUCGCUGUGGACUCGGGGCCAGUCAGUCAGCGUCUCUUUCUCGGCCAGGCCCCCAUGCUUCUUCCUCAGCAGGAGAUUUCCAAGCCGGAGGCUACUGAGAGGCCCAGGGGCCGGCCUGGCUCCACCCCUUCCAGCAGGAACCUGGACCCAAGAAACCUGAUGCCCUGCUGAGGUACAGAGAUACUUAACUCCUUCCUCCCCAUCAGGAGAACCUAACCUUCCCAAAUAACCACACACACACACACACACACACACACACACACACACACACUGCCGCCAUCCCUUUGACACAGAAAACUCCACCCAUCCCCUCAAUCCCAGCAUCUUGUCACCUUCAGGGACCCAUGUAUCUGACCACUGGGGCCCAUCCCUUUGUCUAAGCACCUGGUAACUCAAGCCUGUCUGUCAUUUCAGGCUAGAGAGUCUCAUGUUCAAAGCCAGCCUGGGCAACUUGUGGAAACCCUGU
This is a long non-coding RNA of Myodes glareolus (Bank vole), 785 nucleotides long. RefSeq lists it as uncharacterized. Lineage: Eukaryota; Metazoa; Chordata; Mammalia; Rodentia; Cricetidae. The record is from RefSeq and is a predicted model, not a curated record.